Long non-coding RNA from Hirundo rustica (Barn swallow), 2420 nucleotides. RefSeq lists it as uncharacterized. The transcript has 6 exons. The record is from RefSeq and is a predicted model, not a curated record. NCBI's taxonomy places the organism in Eukaryota, Metazoa, Chordata, Aves, Passeriformes, Hirundinidae.
AAACAACAGCCUCUGCAAGUGUGUGAUUAGAGGAGGGAGAUGUCUUUCAGUAGGAACUUUUGUCAGUUCUCCCUCGACUGAUGCAAACCAGCAGGAUUUACUGAAGUCAGGCUGAAUUAAGCCACACUUGCACGAUGAGUUCAGCAACAAAGGCUGGCAGUGGAACUCCCUGAAACCAAAAGAGGACAGGAAAAGACUUUGUAGUAAAAAAGCUGCUGGCAACUGAGGCACCUCUCUUCUGGCUUUAUGAUCACUGUGCAACCAGGCUUUAAAGUUCUUGGGAGCAAGUUCCACCAGCUUGUUUCCAGCCAUGAUGAGUCACGGCAAACACUGCAGCAGGUCAAGUUUUGGCAGAAACAGAAGAGUGAUACAAAGACAUACGGCUUCUCCCAAACCCAGAACCAGGAGGUGGAGGCAAGUUCACAAAGGAUGGAAAAGGAGGAAUACACUGGGGCAUGGAGUCAGAGAAAGGCACUUGAAAGCACAGGCAGAGGAGCCUCUGGGGUCCCUGUGUCCUGCCUUUGGACGAGACACCAAGGGGAUUUGGGAUUAACAGAAGCCCAGCUCAUGGCAGAGGAGGCUCUGGAACCAAAACCCAAAUGCAAGCAAAGGGAACAAGCUGAGAGUCUCCUUAUGACUACUGUGACAAGGGGCCGCUCCUGGGCAGGCUUGGCUGCAGGGAGAGCUUUUGCAGCGUCAGCGCCGCUGCCCGAGCCGUGGGGAGGAUCUCCAGCCACACCAGCAUCUCCUCACACCCUGCUCACCUUGAUUCCCCCCAGGAAGCGUUUCCCUGCCCUCCAUCCCGGCUCCUGGCGUUCAUUCCCUGCCUGGAGCUCACAGCCCGGCCCCUCUUUCUAGGAACCACCCCCCCAAAAAAUACCCACCCCGUUCAGGUGGUGGCUGAAUUCAGAGCAACUGGCUCAUGGCAAGCCCCAGCAAAGUAAGAUGUGUGUAAACUUUGUGGACUUCUCCACGUCCCUGUUUGUUUCCCCCCUUUGCAAUACAUCCUUGUCCUCUCAGGCACGAUGGACUGACAGAACUUCCACCUUCAAGGAGUCCUGCGUGGAGCUGGGCUGGAGAAUUGUACAGGAAAGGAACGAUUUUAGAAGCAAACCCGGACGUAAAAGAGAUGCUACUACUGCUAAGGACGAGACCCGAAACGCUCAACAGCCAGGAGAAUUCAAGAGAUAAGGUUUCCACAGCAACUUGGGCUCUGCCCUCCCAUGCAUUACAACAGGGGCUUCGGUGCCAUUCUCACGGGACGCUGGGAACCCCAGCUCGCGUUCAGUAAUCCAGAGAGGACCGAGCUGGACCACGGGAGGCUCGGGCAGCGAGGAGCAGCACCGCGGCAUCACCCUAGAAACCAGGAAUGCGGGAUUCGGGAGCAUCUCAAGGAGCCGAUCCUGCUGCCCGAGCUGCGGAGGGGGACAGCCCCGGUAAAAAGGCUGUGCUGCUGCUCAGCAGGGAGGUUUCGUGCGGGAAGAGCCGGGGGAAAAGAGAUUUUUUUUUUUUCCCCUUCCCAGGUGGCCGAAGGGCAGCUCCCCUCCAGCUGGGCAGGGCAGCGGAGAGCGCCCGCCCGGAGCCGGGAGCUGAGCGCCCAGGGAAAAACCUCCCCGUGGAUCAAAAAGCCUUCUCGCCACCCCAGACAGCUCCUUUUCAGAAAAGGAUGGGUGCUUAGCCGGGCUCCCUCCGCUUUCUCCCCUCGUCCCGUGAGAAUUCGGCUCCUCCAGCGAUGGGCGCGCUCAGGGCUCUCCCCUCCCUGCCUUUAAAUCCGGCUGUGCAAACUCCUGGCUGUUUACUUAGCCCGUGCUCCUGGGCUGGAAACAGCAAUAAAUCCCCACACCACCCUGCCCCUAAAAGCACAUCAAUCAAAUUGUGCUUCUCUUUAUAAUCCCCUUCCCUUUGAGACUGAUUAUUGAUCCUUACAACUCUCGGAGAUUUAUUGCAUAAUAGUGAUCCAUCCUUGAUAACCAGAUAAUCUCCAAAGGGUCCGGGGGCUUUUGCCAUCAGUAGCUCAUGCAGAUGGAGCAAAGCUUCAGAAAUACAUCUCUUUUUUUUGCUUCUUUUCUGGAAUGGGCCGGUGAUCAGGUGCAGACUACAAAUAGCUUCCAUGUCAUGUCACGUAUGCACUGAACAAUGCAAUGCAUAUGCCCAAAGGGGCACAGCUAAAAUGACCAGCCGAGGAUUAUUUAUUUUCAGCUGUGGGUUUGCUUUCUCUUUUCCUGUUUGUUUUUUGGUUUUUUCUUCCCAUUUUCCUUUCCCCUGCUAUAUGAUACAGAAGUGGAAGGUUUUGUUGCCUUGUUUUCAAAGGGAUUCUUUCUCCUGCUCCCUUUUCUGCUCCCGAUGGGUAAUUAUGCCCCUCUCCUCACCCUAGCAUCUAAAUGUCUUCCAGUGGUGCAUUAAAUAGUGUGACUAACAUC